CCUACGGGUGGCAGCAGUGAGGAAUAUUGGUCAAUGGACGCAAGUCUGAACCAGCCAAGUCGCGUGAAGGAUGACGGCCCUAUGGGUUGUAAACUUCUUUUGUAAGGGAGUAAACGCAGGCACGUGUGCCUUUCUGUAUGUACCUUAUGAAUAAGGAUCGGCUAACUCCGUGCCAGCAACCGCGGUAAUACGGAGGAUUCGAGCGUUAUCCGGAUUUAUUGGGUUUAAAGGGAGCGUAGGUGGGCGGUUAAGUCAGUGGUGAAAUUUUGAGGCUCAACCUUAGAAUUGCCAUUGAUACUGGUAGGCUAGAGUGCAGUUGAGGUAGGCGGAAUGCGUGGUGUAGCGGUGAAAUGCUUAGAGAUCACGAAGAACUCCGAUUGCGAAGGCAGCUUACCAACCUGCUACUGACGUUGAGGCACGAAAGCGUGGGGAUCAAACAGGAUUAGAUACCCUAGUAGUC
This 460-nucleotide ribosomal RNA is filed under the name uncultured bacterium. RNAcentral's name for it is "partial 16S ribosomal RNA". It matches the Rfam family "Bacterial small subunit ribosomal RNA", at positions 338 to 795 of the family's 1533-position model. The record is from RNAcentral.